AAAUACAUGCAAGUCGAGCGGACAGAUGGGAGCUUGCUCCCUGAUGUUAGCGGCGGACGGGUGAGUAACACGUGGGUAACCUGCCUGUAAGACUGGGAUAACUCCGGGAAACCGGGGCUAAUACCGGAUGGUUGUUUGAACCGCAGGUUCAGACAUAAAAGGUGGCUUCGGCUACCACUUACAGAUGGACCCGCGGCGCAUAGCUAGUUGGUGAGGUAACGGCUCACCAAGGCGACGAUGCGUAGCCGACCUGAGAGGGUGAUCGGCCACACUGGGACUGAGACACGGCCCAGACUCCUACGGGAGGCAGCAGUAGGGAAUCUUCCGCAAUGGACGAAAGUCUGACGGAGCAACGCCGCGUGAGUGAUGAAGGUUUUCGGAUCGUAAAGCUCUGUUGUUAGGGAAGAACAAGUGCCGUUCAAAUAGGGCGGCACCUUGACGGUACCUAACCAGAAAGCCACGGCUAACUACGUGCCAGCAGCCGCGGUAAUACGUAGGUGGCAAGCGUUGUCCGGAAUUAUUGGGCGUAAAGGGCUCGCAGGCGGUUUCUUAAGUCUGAUGUGAAAGCCCCCGGCUCAACCGGGGAGGGUCAUUGGAAACUGGGGAACUUGAGUGCAGAAGAGGAGAGUGGAAUUCCACGUGUAGCGGUGAAAUGCGUAGAGAUGUGGAGGAACACCAGUGGCGAAGGCGACUCUCUGGUCUGUAACUGACGCUGAGGAGCGAAAGCGUGGGGAGCGAACAGGAUUAGAUACCCUGGUAGUCCACGCCGUAAACGAUGAGUGCUAAGUGUUAGGGGGUUUCCGCCCCUUAGUGCUGCAGCUAACGCAUUAAGCACUCCGCCUGGGGAGUACGGUCGCAAGACUGAAACUCAAAGGAAUUGACGGGGGCCCGCACAAGCGGUGGAGCAUGUGGUUUAAUUCGAAGCAACGCGAAGAACCUUACCAGGUCUUGACAUCCUCUGACAAUCCUAGAGAUAGGACGUCCCCUUCGGGGGCAGAGUGACAGUUGGUGCAUGGUUGUCGUCAGCUCGUGUCGUGAGAUGUUGGGUUAAGUCCCGCAACGAGCGCAACCCUUGAUCUUAGUUGCCAGCAUUCAGUUGGGCACUCUAAGGUGACUGCCGGUGACACCCCGGAGGAAAGGGG
This 1142-nucleotide ribosomal RNA is filed under the name Bacillus siamensis. RNAcentral's name for it is "bacterial SSU rRNA". It matches the Rfam family "Bacterial small subunit ribosomal RNA", at positions 49 to 1176 of the family's 1533-position model. Lineage: Bacteria; Bacillati; Bacillota; Bacilli; Caryophanales; Bacillaceae. The record is from RNAcentral.